GGCAAAGUGGCCGAGUGGUUAAGGCGUUGUGUUUAGGUCUUUGUCCCCGCAAGGGGGUAUGACUUUCCGCAAUCCGAAAGGGCGCGAGUUCGAAUCUCGUCUUUGUCA
Molecule: non-coding RNA, 108 nt
Organism: Rhypophila decipiens
Lineage: Eukaryota; Fungi; Ascomycota; Sordariomycetes; Sordariales; Naviculisporaceae
Source: the annotation of a GenBank genome assembly